Molecule: ribosomal RNA, 253 nt
Filed under: uncultured bacterium
Lineage: Bacteria
Description: partial 16S ribosomal RNA
Rfam family: Bacterial small subunit ribosomal RNA
Source: RNAcentral
UACGUAGGGGGCGAGCGUUGUCCGGAUUUAUUGGGCGUAAAGAGCUCGUAGGCGGCUUGGCAAGUCGGGUGUGAAACCUCCAGCUCAACCUGGAGACGCCACUCGAUACUGCCAUGGCUAGAGUCCGGUAGGGGACCACGGAAUUCCUGGUGUAGCGGUGAAAUGCGCAGAUAUCAGGAGGAACACCGGUGGCGAAGGCGGUGGUCUGGGCCGGCACUGACGCUGAGGAGCGAAAGCGUGGGUAGCAAACAGG